This 433-nucleotide ribosomal RNA is filed under the name uncultured bacterium. RNAcentral describes it as "partial 16S ribosomal RNA". It matches the Rfam family "Bacterial small subunit ribosomal RNA", at positions 29 to 507 of the family's 1533-position model. The record is from RNAcentral.
AACGAACGCUGGCGGCAGGCCUAACACAUGCAAGUCGAGCGAGGACUUCGGUUCUAGCGGCGGACGGGUGAGUAACGCGUGGGAAUGUGCCCUUCUCUACGGAAUAGCCCUGGGAAACUGGGAGUAAUACCGUAUACGCCCUAUUGGGGAAAGAUUUAUCGGAGAAGGAUGAGCCCGCGUUGGAUUAGGUAGUUGGUGGGGUAAUGGCCUACCAAGCCGACGAUCCAUAGCUGGUUUGAGAGGAUGAUCAGCCACACUGGGACUGAGACACGGCCCAGACUCCUACGGGAGGCAGCAGUGGGGAAUCGUAGACAAUGGGGGCAACCCUGAUCUAGCCAUGCCGCGUGAGUGAUGAAGGCCUUAGGGUUGUAAAGCUCUUUCAGCUGGGAAGAUAAUGACGGUACCAGCAGAAGAAGCCCCGGCUAACUCCGUG